UUUCAUAGGAAAAGGAAAAGUGCCCCCAGAUGAGGCUGUGAGCUCCACAGUGCCCAAAUCAAGGAGAGUUGUGAAAAGGCCAUGGAGCCAAAUGGAAGUGAAUGCCGUAAUGAAACAUUUCAAAGCACAUAUUUUAAAGGGACACCUCGCCACAAAGGCAGAAUGUGAGCAGUGCAAGAAUGCAGAAGACCCUGUCCUAGGAGAAAGAACUGUGCAAAAUAUAAGGGAUUUCGUGAGGAAUCGAGGUUUGAUGUUUAAAAAGAAAUGCUCUUAGAAAGAUCAGUACCAUUCCGUUAAGGUCUGUGGCUUUUGUUCAAGAUUUGAGUGGAUGACCCUGUUUUUGUUCAAAACAUACGGUUAUAUAUUAAGUAAGACAUUUAUUGACGUGUACACAUUUUGUUGUGUUAGUGUGUAUGUUAGUAAUGUGCUGAUGAAUCCAGAUUGUCCUCACUGUUCAGGUUUGAUCAGGUGUGUGUGUGUGUGAAUGAUGUCCUGAUGAAUCCAGAUUGUCCUCACUGUUCAGGUUUGAUCAGGUGUGUGUGAAUGAUGUCCUGAUGAAUCCAGAUUGUCCUCACUGUUCAGGUUUGAUCAGGUGUGUAUGUGUAUGUGAAUGAUGUCCUGAUGAAUCCAGAUUGUCCUCGCAUUCCAG
Molecule: long non-coding RNA, 649 nt
Organism: Triplophysa rosa
Lineage: Eukaryota; Metazoa; Chordata; Actinopteri; Cypriniformes; Nemacheilidae
Exons: 3
Source: RefSeq, a predicted model, not a curated record